RNAcentral lists this ribosomal RNA (857 nucleotides) under uncultured bacterium. Its description in RNAcentral is "bacterial SSU rRNA". It matches the Rfam family "Bacterial small subunit ribosomal RNA", at positions 83 to 958 of the family's 1533-position model. The record is from RNAcentral.
ACCUGGUGGCGAGUGGCGAACGGGUGAGUAAUAUAUCGGAACGUACCUUAUUGUGGGGGAUAACGCAGCGAAAGCUGUGCUAAUACCGCAUAAUCCCUUAGGGGGAAAGCGGGGGACCGUAAGGCCUCGCGCAAUUAGAGCGGCCGAUACCUGAUUAGCUAGUUGGUGGGGUAAAGGCCUACCAAGGCGACGAUCAGUAGCUGGUCUGAGAGGAUGAGCAGCCACACUGGGACUGAGACACGGCCCAGACUCCUACGGGAGGCAGCAGUGGGGAAUUUUCCGCAAUGGGCGAAAGCCUGACGGAGCAACGCCGCGUGAGGGAGGAAGGUCUUUGGAUUGUAAACCUCUUUUCUCGAGGAAGAAGUUCUGACGGUACUUGAGGAAUCAGCCUCGGCUAACUCCGUGCCAGCAGCCGCGGUAAUACGGGGGAGGCAAGCGUUAUCCGGAAUUAUUGGGCGUAAAGCGUCCGCAGGUGGUCAGCCAAGUCUGCCGUCAAAUCAGGUUGCUUAACGACCUAAAGGCGGUGGAAACUGGCAGACUAGAGAGCAGUAGGGGUAGCAGGAAUUCCCAGUGUAGCGGUGAAAUGCGUAGAGAUUGGGAAGAACAUCGGUGGCGAAAGCGUGCUACUGGGCUGUAUCUGACACUCAGGGACGAAAGCUAGGGGAGCGAAAGGGAUUAGAUACCCCUGUAGUCCUAGCCGUAAACGAUGGAUACUANGCGUGGCUUGUAUCGACCCGAGCCGUGCCGAAGCUAACGCGUUAAGUAUCCCGCCUGGGGAGUACGCACGCAAGUGUGAAACUCAANGGAAUUGACGGGGGCCCGCACAAGCGGUGGAGUAUGUGGUUUAAUUCGAUGCA